GGUAAAGGCUUACCAAGACAAUGAUGCAUAGCCGAGUUGAGAGACUGAUCGGCCACAUUGGGACUGAGACCCGGCCCAAACUCCUACGGGAGGCUGCAGUAGGGAAUCUUCCACAAUGGGCGAAAGCCUGAUGGAGCAACGCCGCGUGUGUGAUGAAGGCUUUCGGGUCGUAAAGCACUGUUGUAUGGGAAGAAAAGUUAAGGUAGGGAAUGACCUUAGCCUGACGGUACCAUACCAGAAAGGGACGGCUAAAUACGUGCCAGCAGCCGCGGUAAUACGUAUGUCCCGAGCGUUAUCCGGAUUUAUUGGGCGUAAAGCGAGCGCAGACGGUUGGUUAAGUCUGAUGUGAAAGCCCGGAGCUCAACUCCGGAAAGGCAUUGGAAACUGGUUAACUUGAGUGCAGUAGAGGUAAGUGGAACUCCAUGUGUAGCGGUGGAAUGCGUAGAUAUAUGGAAGAACACCAGCGGCGAAGGCGGCUUACUGGACUGUAACUGACGUUGAGGCUCGAAAGUGUGGGUAGCAAACAGGAUUAGAUACCCUGGUAGUCCACACCGUAAACGAUGAACACUAGGUGUUAGGAGGUUUCCGCCUCUUAGUGCCGAAGCUAACGCAUUAAGUGUUCCGCCUGGGGAGUACGACCGCAAGGUUGAAACUCAAAGGAAUUGACGGGGACCCGCACAAGCGGUGGAGCAUGUGGUUUAAUUCGAAGCAACGCGAAGAACCUUACCAGGUCUUGACAUCCUUUGAAGCUUUUAGAAAUAGAAGUGUUCUCUUCGGAGACAAAGUGACAGGUGGUGCAUGGUCGUCGUCAGCUCGUGUCGUGAGAUGUUGGGUUAAGUCCCGCAACGAGCGCAACCCUUAUUGUUAGUUGCCAGCAUUCAGAUGGGCACUCUAGCGAGACUGCCGGUGACAAACCGGAGGAAGGCGGGGACGACGUCAGAUCAUCAUGCCCCUUAUGACCUGGGCUACACACGUGCUACAAUGGCGUAUACAACGAGUUGCCAACCUGCGAAGGUGAGCUAAUCUCUUAAAGUACGUCUCAGUUCGGACUGCAGUCUGCAACUCGACUGCACGAAGUCGGAAUCGCUAGUAAUCGCGGAUCAGCACGCCGCGGUGAAUACGUUCCCGGGUCUUGUACACACCGCCCGUCACACCAUGGAAGUUUGUAAUGCCCAAAGCCGGUGGCCUAACCGUAAGGAGGAACCGUCUAAGGCAG
Molecule: ribosomal RNA, 1216 nt
Filed under: Leuconostoc carnosum
Lineage: Bacteria; Bacillati; Bacillota; Bacilli; Lactobacillales; Lactobacillaceae
Description: bacterial SSU rRNA
Rfam family: Bacterial small subunit ribosomal RNA
Source: RNAcentral